GUUUGAGGACAGGAAGUGGAGCAGGGAGGGACUAAACACUGGAGUUUCCUAACUGGCUCAAAUGUUUUUGUCAUGGCCUUGUUGGGCCUUGUUCACAGGUCUGUGGGAACCACAGGAAGUAGGACCAAGGGCCAAUUUCAUCACUGAGUCUAGGGGAGGAGCCCUGGUAACUCAAGCAGCCAUUCUGGAGAGGGAAGCCAGGAUCACUAGCCCAUCAUAAUAGCUCCAGCCAGCCCACUGGCCAAUUCAUACUUGUGGAACUCCACUGCCUUCCCUCCUAUAGCCUGCACCCCUACUCGAGACUUACUGAGCUCCAAGCUGGCAGAUGAUGAUGCUUGUCAUCUCACCCUCCUCCUCUGGGAGUCGCUUCAGUUCAAAGCAGGCUCCCAGGCCUUACAAUCGGAUACAAAGAUGGUCAGGAGCCUUUUUCUCAUGAUCUGUACAAGUGGUGGUGACUGCUCACCAACUGCAUGCUAAUCUAUCCACUCUGAGACGCUGGAAGAUUACCACACUGGACAUAGAAGAUUUCCUCAGACUGCUCUGUGGUGCGAGUGGUGGCAUUCUCAAGAAGGAGAGGCCCAGCAGUCCCCCAGUGGAAGCCCCCAUUUCCUCCCUGGUCAAAUGGCAAGGUGGAGUUGGUUAAGUUGACCUUUCAUGGCCACCCUCCUCCAAUGUUCUGUGUUUCUAAGGUGGCUACUGGUGCAGCUGUGUGGAGAAGCCUUCCAGUUCCUCCAGUGUCAUGGCCUGGGACCUGCCUGGGUUUCUCAACUCUAUCAUUGCAACUGCUCCCACUGCAAAGAUGAGCAAACAGGCUUGGAGAUGCGAGAUGAUCUGUGAUACUAGGUGGCACCCCUAAGACUCAAUCCCACUAUGAUAGACAGCUAAGUUAGGUAGAAUAUUCCAGGCAGUCAGAUAGCGUCAGGACAAAGGUGAAACACACCACAACUAUGGCCAAAGACACAUCAGUUAUAGGCCAGGCUUCAAGAUAUAGACAAAAUGCCCAGGCCUGCAUACUUCUUCAAAGGACAAACACCAGGCCUAAUGAAGUCUAGAUAGACAUCAGUCACCCUCGUGGGUGACCAAGACCUCUGGACCCAUCAUUUCCUAGAAAAAGUCUUUGUUCUUUCCAUGCACUCUUGUUCCAUGACUUGUUUCUCCAUUAGAUAACUAUUUACCUAAGCGACCAUACUCGUAACCUUAUUGGUUAAUCGCAGCUGUAACCCAUGUUGUAUACACAUGGAUUUUGCUAUGUACAACUUCCCUGCAAAAUGGAGUCUCUUGCUACCCAUUCAGUUCUCUCCUGCCUCUCAGGAGCUACCCUCUCAAAAAAUAUUUUCUUACUCUUAACCUCCGUCAUUUCUAGAAUUCAUUCUUCGAUUUUAGAGAACCUGAACUUGGCAUAGCAGACAUCUAAUACGUUGGGAGUUAUAAUAUUUUCAUAUUUCAUCUCCUCUAUCACCACUUUCCACAUUCUGCAGCUGUCAGACAUAGAGUUAUUCUCUCCAACCUCUUCUAGUUGUUUUCAGCUGCUGUUGUCUUACUGGAGGUCAGAGGUGGGACUCUGAGGCUUAGACAGGAUGAGAAGCAGUUUUUGCUGGAGGUAGCCAGGGAUCCUCGACCAUCAGAUUGCAGAAAGCCCUUGUAGACCUACAGGAUGCCUGUGUCACUGUUUUCUGUCAUCCCUUGAGGGCUUUGGUUGAACAUAUAGUUAGACGUAUUUUCCAAAUCUCUAAAAGGCAGGAUGGCAGCAGGACAGUGGGAAGGGGGUCUGCAGUGGGUGUCAAGUACAGAGAACAGCUUUUCUGCUUCUAGAGAUGCACGUUUUGGCUUGCCUCACCUUGAAAUUGGAGAUUUCAUGGAGGAAAAUAUGUCAAGGUAGACAGAGUCUCUCCUUCAUGAGAUGUCAGAUGGCUAUUCUUGCAUGCAGUUAUUUUCUUUUAAAGUAAUUCAUAAUGGCAGAGCUCACUGCUGUAAUCAGUUUCUGUUUCCAUUAUAAAUUCAAUUUUGGAAGGUGAUGAUGGUGUUAUUUCAUCUUCCUCGGGGCCUCAAAUUUAUAUAGAUUUUUUACACACACACACACACACACACACACACACACACACACACAAAGCAGCAGCAGUUUGUAUGUUUAGAACAACUAAAAGCCUGGGCUUUUGGAGGAUAGUUUAGCAAUAGGAAUUUAGGCAAGAAUAGGGUAACAAGUAGGUAUCAACUUCCUUGUCAGCUCUGAACAAUUAGUAGAGAAGACUGAAGUAUUUUGUUGAGAAGGAUUCUGAGACCAUGACUAGAAUACAAAGAAGAGAGCUGUGAUUGAUUAGUGAUGUCUGUCAGGGCGCUCUGUCUGCAGCAAGGGAGAGGGGUAGAGGAAACCACUCAUCUAUAUACACUGCAGUAAGUUUUCUCCCAACAAGGACUUCUUCUUCAUAGCCUUUGAUAGUUGCAAAAGCAUUUUUUAUGAACUUUUUUUUUAUUUAGCCGUUACAUUAACUGGGUAAAUUCACUAGAGCUAAUUUAUCUUCCUAUUGAUUUACCUGCUAGAUAUUUAUUAGAUAAGUUACUGUACCAGAC
Molecule: long non-coding RNA, 2568 nt
Filed under: Fukomys damarensis (Damara mole-rat)
Lineage: Eukaryota; Metazoa; Chordata; Mammalia; Rodentia; Bathyergidae
Description: lncRNA (ENSFDAG00000027014.1)
Source: RNAcentral